CCUACGGGCGGCUGCAGUGGGGAAUAUUGGACAAUGGGGGAAACCCUGAUCCAGCAAUGCCGCGUGAGUGAAGAAGGCCUUAGGGUUGUAAAGCUCUUUCGCCCGUGACGAUGAUGACGGUAACGGGAGAAGAAGCCCCGGCUAAUUCCGUGCCAGCAGCCGCGGUAAUACGGAAGGGGCUAGCGUUGUUCGGAUUUACUGGGCGUAAAGCGCAUGUAGGCGGCGGAUCAAGUGGGGCGUGAAAGGCCUGGGCUCAACCUGGGAACUGCGCUUCAGACUGGUUCGCUCGAGUUCGGGAGAGGGUGGUGGAAUUCCCAGUGUAGAGGUGAAAUUCGUAGAUAUUGGGAGGAACACCGGUGGCGAAGGCGGCCACCUGGCCCGAGACUGACGCUCAAGUGCGAAAGCGUGGGGAGCAAACAGGAUUAGAUACCCUAGUAGUC
This 440-nucleotide ribosomal RNA is filed under the name uncultured Defluviicoccus sp. RNAcentral describes it as "bacterial SSU rRNA". It matches the Rfam family "Bacterial small subunit ribosomal RNA", at positions 338 to 795 of the family's 1533-position model. The record is from RNAcentral. Lineage: Bacteria; Pseudomonadati; Pseudomonadota; Alphaproteobacteria; Rhodospirillales; Rhodospirillaceae.